Molecule: long non-coding RNA, 738 nt
Organism: Bombyx mori (domestic silkworm)
Lineage: Eukaryota; Metazoa; Arthropoda; Insecta; Lepidoptera; Bombycidae
Exons: 2
Source: RefSeq, a predicted model, not a curated record
UCCAGUAAAUAAACAACAACAAACUGGAAUAGUGUAUAAAAUACCUUGUUCGUGUGACUUAUGCUAUGUUGGACAAACUAGGCAGUAUUUGAGUAAUAGAGUAAAACAACACAUUUAUGAUUGUAAAAAUAUUAAUAUAUUAAAAGAGAAUAAAACAGCAUUAGCAACCCACCACUUUGACCAACAUCAUAAUUUUAAGUUUGAUAAGAUAGAAAUCUUGGAUAAAGAAAUGAAUUGGUGGAAACGUAAUGUUAGUGAAAUGAUCUUUAUAAAAACUAAUGAUACUGUGAACAAACGAACAGACACUAACAAUUUAAGUAUUUUAUAUAAUGAUAUAUUAAAAGAGUAUAAAUCUAAUAGAAAAAAAUAACCUUCAUUUCAGAUAUAUUUGAAUUUGAUACUUAGCGAGGUUUGCGCUAGUAUAAAAUAUUAUAAAGUAUAGUCUAUGUACUGAAGUUUCAAUAGUGGGCUAACCUUUGUCACGCAAUUAGCAAUUUUAUGUGUCGUGUUGGCUUUGUUUCCGGAAUCAAAAAAUAGUAAUUAAAUAAUUUAGUGGCUUUGUAGAUUUGUAUUAGUCUCUGAUGUCUGAGACAAUUGUGCAGUGUAUGAUAGAGAUUAUUUAAAUUCAUAUUAUGAUGCCUGAUGAAGGUCUAAUAAAAGACCGAAACGUUGCUAAAAUAAUAAUGUAAUUUGUUAUAAUAGUCCUAUCUUGUCCACAUUCCUGAGAUACACGAAAAA